UACGGGGGGGGCAAGCGUUGUUCGGAAUUACUGGGCGUAAAGGGCGCGUAGGCGGUUUGGUAAGUUGGAUGUGAAAACUCUGGGCUCAACCCAGAGCCUGCAUCCAAAACUGGCAGGCUAGAGUUCUGGAGGGGGUAGCGGAAUUCCUGGUGUAGCAGUGAAAUGCGUAGAUAUCAGGAGGAACACCGGUGGCGAAGGCGGCUACCUGGACAGAAACUGACGCUGAGGCGCGAAAGCUAGGGGAGCAAACAGG
Molecule: ribosomal RNA, 253 nt
Filed under: uncultured bacterium
Lineage: Bacteria
Description: partial 16S ribosomal RNA
Rfam family: Bacterial small subunit ribosomal RNA
Source: RNAcentral